UCAGAAUCAACGCUGGCGGCGUGCCUAACACAUGCAAGUCGAACGAGAAAGCGGGGGCAACUCCGUGAGUAAAGUGGCGACCGGGUGAGUAACACGUGACUAACCUACCCUCUGAUGGGGAAUAACCUCGGGAAACCGGGGCUAAUACCGCAUAACGUCCGCGGGUGCAACUCCUGCGGACCAAAGGAGCAAUUCGUCGGAGGAGGGGGUCGCAGCUGAUUAGCUAGUUGGCGGGGUAACGGCCCACCAAGGCGAUGAUCAGUAGCCGGCCUGAGAGGGCGCACGGCCACACUGGAACUGAAACACGGUCCAGACUCCUACGGGAGGCAGCAGUGGGGAAUUUUGCGCAAUGGGGGAAACCCUGACGCAGCAACGCCGCGUGGAGGAUGAAGUCCCUUGGGACGUAAACUCCUUUCGACCGGGACGAAUGAUGACGGUACCGGUGGAAGAAGCCCCGGCUAACUUCGUGCCAGCAGCCGCGGUAAUACGAGGGGGGCGAGCGUUGUUCGGAAUUAUUGGGCGUAAAGGGCGCGUAGGCGGCGCGGUAAGUCUUCUGUGAAACCUCUGGGCUUAACUCAGAGCCUGCAGG
This 589-nucleotide ribosomal RNA is filed under the name uncultured bacterium. Its description in RNAcentral is "bacterial SSU rRNA". It matches the Rfam family "Bacterial small subunit ribosomal RNA", at positions 24 to 627 of the family's 1533-position model. The record is from RNAcentral.